Molecule: transfer RNA, 77 nt
Filed under: Candidatus Omnitrophota bacterium
Lineage: Bacteria; Pseudomonadati; Candidatus Omnitrophota
Also listed under: 2 other names
Description: tRNA-Pro
Rfam family: tRNA
About the family: Transfer RNA (tRNA) molecules are approximately 80 nucleotides in length. Their secondary structure includes four short double-helical elements and three loops (D, anti-codon, and T loops). Further hydrogen bonds mediate the characteristic L-shaped molecular structure. tRNAs have two regions of fundamental functional importance: the anti-codon, which is responsible for specific mRNA codon recognition, and the 3' end, to which the tRNAs corresponding amino acid is attached (by aminoacyl-tRNA synthetases). tRNAs cope with the degeneracy of the genetic code in two manners: having more than one tRNA (with a specific anti-codon) for a particular amino acid; and 'wobble' base-pairing, i.e. permitting non-standard base-pairing at the 3rd anti-codon position.
Source: RNAcentral
CAGCGCGUGGGUCAACUUGGUAGACCGCUUGAUUCGGGUUCAAGAAUUUGCUGGUUCAAAUCCAGUCGCGCUGACCA